This 91-nucleotide transfer RNA is filed under the name Nitrososphaeria archaeon. Its description in RNAcentral is "tRNA-Lys". It matches the Rfam family "tRNA". From Rfam's summary of the family: Transfer RNA (tRNA) molecules are approximately 80 nucleotides in length. Their secondary structure includes four short double-helical elements and three loops (D, anti-codon, and T loops). The record is from RNAcentral. Lineage: Archaea; Thermoproteati; Nitrososphaerota; Nitrososphaeria.
GGGCCCGUAGCUCAGCCAGGUAGGGGGUUCCGCCUAGAGCGGUGGGCUCUUAACCCAUAGGUCGUGGGUUCGAAUCCCACCGGGCCCGCCA